RNAcentral lists this ribosomal RNA (447 nucleotides) under uncultured bacterium. RNAcentral's name for it is "bacterial SSU rRNA". It matches the Rfam family "Bacterial small subunit ribosomal RNA", at positions 329 to 793 of the family's 1533-position model. The record is from RNAcentral.
UACCAGACUCCUACGGGAGGCAGCAGUGGGUAAUAUUGCACAAUGGGGGAAACCCUGAUGCAGCAACGCCGCGUGAGUGAAGAAGUAUCUCGGUAUGUAAAGCUCUAUCAGCAGGGAAGAAGAUGACGGUACCUGACUAAGAAGCCCCGGCUAACUACGUGCCAGCAGCCGCGGUAAUACGUAGGGGGCAAGCGUUAUCCGGAUUUACUGGGUGUAAAGGGAGCGUAGACGGUCCUGCAAGCCAGAUGUGAAAGCCCGGGGCUCAACCCCGGGACUGCAUUUGGAACUGUAAGGCUAGAGUGUCGGAGAGGCAGGCGGAAUUCCUAGUGUAGCGGUGAAAUGCGUAGAUAUUAGGAGGAACACCAGUGGCGAAGGCGGAUUGCUGGACAGUAACUGACGCUGAGGCGCGAAAGCGUGGGGAGCAAACAGGAUUAGAUACCCCCGUAC